GCCUCAGUGGAUCAGGGUAGAUCGCCUCGAUAUCUUCAGCUAGCUCCGUAGAAAAUUAACGAGGAGAUGUGGGUUCGAGUCCCGUCGGAGGCC
This is a non-coding RNA of Mycena metata, 93 nucleotides long. NCBI's taxonomy places the organism in Eukaryota, Fungi, Basidiomycota, Agaricomycetes, Agaricales, Mycenaceae. The record is from the annotation of a GenBank genome assembly.